Molecule: RNA transcript, 2020 nt
Organism: Salvia miltiorrhiza (redroot sage)
Lineage: Eukaryota; Viridiplantae; Streptophyta; Magnoliopsida; Lamiales; Lamiaceae
Gene name: UPF0496 protein 1-like
Exons: 3
Source: RefSeq, a predicted model, not a curated record
UUUUUUCAACUAUACACAAAAUAGGAUACCAAUAAACUUUCUUCUCAAAAAAAAGUAGACAAAUAAAGUUCAUGUCACAGUCAACUCUUACAAUCAUUUCCGACAUAUUUAUGGCAUUAGAUCACCAACAAUAAGCCGCUAAUUAAAAAAUGGGCGCACAAAUGAGCCGAACGUUCCGCCGCGCCGGCAGCCUCCGUCCGCCGGCGGCGGCUGAGCCACCUGCUGCAAAUCAUGACCUCAACUCCUCCAAUUCUGCUUCCGCUGACUCCGACCUGAGCUCGUACGAAGCGGCGUGCCGCUCCGACCCCGACCUCCAAAACUUCGACUCGAAGCUCCAGAUCCGCACAAGCCGCGCCAUCAACUCCAUCUCCGUGGGCCUCGACGCCCGCUCCCUCCCCCUCGACUCCCUCCGCGAAGUCACCGAAUACCUCCUCGAGAUGAACCAGGAGGUCGUCACAAUCAUCCUCCAAAACAAGCGCGACAUUUGGAAAGACGACGAAUUCUCCGAUCUCGUCGACGACUACUUCGAGAACAGCCUCCUCACCUUGGAUUUCUGCACCUCCCUCGAUUCGUGCCUCAAACGCGCCGCGCGCAUCGAAUCGGUCGUCAACGUCGCCCUCCGCAAAUUCGACGACGAGCGAGCAAAUGCGGGGAGGAAUUACUCGAGAACUCUGGCGGAAUUGGGGAAUUUCAGCGCCGCGGAGGAGCCGUUCACGCAGGAGUUCUUCAAGGUCUUCGCUCGCGUCUACGCGAAGCAGGCGUCGAUGCUGGAGAGGCUGCAGGCGAAGAAGCAAAACCUAGACAGAAAAUUGGGGAAAUUGCAGGCGUGGAGGAAGGUCUCGAAUGUGAUAUUCGUGGUGACAUUCGCCGCCGUUCUUGUGUGCUCGGUGGUGGCGGCGGCGGUGAGCGCUCCGCCGGUGGUGACGGCGCUGGCGGCGGCGGCGGCCGUGCCGCUGGGGUCGAUGGGGAGAUGGCUGAACACGCUGUGGAAGAAGUGCGAGAGGGAUCUGAGAGGGCAGAGGGCGAUAAUCAGCUCGAUGGAGAUUGGGACGUACAUUGUGCUUCAGGAUUUGGCAAACAUAAAGGCGCUUGUAGAGAGGUUCCAAGUGAGGAUGGAGGAGUUGUUGGCGAACGCGGAUUUCGCGACGAGGGAGGAGGAGGCGGUGGUGGCGGCGGCGGAGGAGAUCAGGAAGAAGUUGGAUGAGUUUAUGAAAACGGUUCGUGAUUUGAGUGAUCAUGCCAAUAAGUGCACUCAAGAAACAAGGAUGGCGAGAACUUUGAUAUUGCGUAGGAUUGUCAAUCAUCCCAACACCUCCAAUGAGGAAACCGGAAUCCCCACCUCCCAUUUGAACGGCGGCCUUUAAGCCCCGCGCAGCCCCAUCUCCGAUGUCGCACCCCACCGCCCUAGCUCUAGUCGACGAGAGAAAGCAAAAAGUUUGUCAUCACUGCAACAGCUCAUCAGCAAGCUCGGAGCAACUCCAGCCAUCGCGGAUGCGGACCCUGCACCACCGUCUCCGUCCCACAACAGCACCUCCAAUAGCUCAACAAACAAUGUCACAGUAGCGCAGGAAAAACAAAUCUUGGCCACUCAACUUAGAGAAAGUAGUGGACCGCCCUAUCAGGUUAUAACACAAAAACAGAUGACAAAUACGCAACACUGGAUCAACAAUGUCGGACACAACAGGCCGGGAAGUAUCAAAAGGCUUGAGUCAAUUCUUUUCGGCACGGUAAUUAAGAAAAUUUAUAAUGUACAAAAAAUUUAUAAUGUACAAAAAAUAAUACUCCCUGCGUCCCGUGAAUCUUGAGUCAAUUCUUUUCGGCACGAGAAUUAAGAAAAUAGUAUUUAGUGUGUUAAGUGUGGUAGGUGAAAAAGUGAAUAAAGGAGAAUCUUUUUGCUAUAUAAGGAAAUGACUCAAGAUUCGUGAGACGGCCAAAAAAGGAAAGUGACUCAAGAUUCGUGGGAUGGAAGGAGUAAUAAAUAAACAUAUUAUUUUAAAUAUAUUUUCGUAAUGGAUACAAA